RNAcentral lists this ribosomal RNA (925 nucleotides) under uncultured Bacteroidota bacterium. Its description in RNAcentral is "bacterial SSU rRNA". It matches the Rfam family "Bacterial small subunit ribosomal RNA", at positions 1 to 917 of the family's 1533-position model. The record is from RNAcentral. Lineage: Bacteria; Pseudomonadati; Bacteroidota.
UUGGAUCCAGACUUUGAUCAUGGCUCAGGAUGAACGCUAGCUACAGGCUUAACACAUGCAAGUCGAGGGGCAGCGGGAUUGAAGCUUGCUUCAAUUGCCGGCGACCGGCGCACGGGUGAGUAACGCGUAUCCAACCUUCCGUACACUCAGGGAUAGCCUUUCGAAAGAAAGAUUAAUACCUGAUGGUAUGAUGAGAUUGCAUGAUAGCAUCAUUAAAGAUUUAUCGGUGUACGAUGGGGAUGCGUUCCAUUAGGUAGUAGGCGGGGUAACGGCCCACCUAGCCAACGAUGGAUAGGGGUUCUGAGAGGAAGGUCCCCCACAUUGGAACUGAGACACGGUCCAAACUCCUACGGGAGGCAGCAGUGAGGAAUAUUGGUCAAUGGACGAGAGUCUGAACCAGCCAAGUAGCGUGAAGGAUGAAGGUCCUACGGAUUGUAAACUUCUUUUAUAAGGGAAUAAACCCUCCCACGUGUGGGAGCUUGUAUGUACCUUAUGAAUAAGCAUCGGCUAACUCCGUGCCAGCAGCCGCGGUAAUACGGAGGAUGCGAGCGUUAUCCGGAUUUAUUGGGUUUAAAGGGAGCGCAGACGGGUCGUUAAGUCAGCUGUGAAAGUUUGGGGCUCAACCUUAAAAUUGCAGUUGAUACUGGCGUCCUUGAGUGCGGUUGAGGUGUGCGGAAUUCGUGGUGUAGCGGUGAAAUGCUUAGAUAUCACGAAGAACUCCGAUUGCGAAGGCAGCACACUAAUCCGUAACUGACGUUCAUGCUCGAAAGUGUGGGUAUCAAACAGGAUUAGAUACCCUGGUAGUCCACACGGUAAACGAUGGAUACUCGCUGUUGGCGAUAUACUGUCAGCGGCUUAGCGAAAGCGUUAAGUAUCCCACCUGGGGAGUACGCCGGCAACGGUGCAACUCAAAGGAAUUGACGGA